Molecule: microRNA, 23 nt
Filed under: Ananas comosus (pineapple)
Lineage: Eukaryota; Viridiplantae; Streptophyta; Magnoliopsida; Poales; Bromeliaceae
Description: microRNA s0933_c121a
Source: RNAcentral
AAUUAUGGUUCAAACAUUAAUCA